This 226-nucleotide long non-coding RNA is filed under the name Elaeis guineensis (African oil palm). RNAcentral describes it as "long non-coding RNA (EGUI_LNC041049)". Lineage: Eukaryota; Viridiplantae; Streptophyta; Magnoliopsida; Arecales; Arecaceae. The record is from RNAcentral.
AUGCAAAAUGUCAUAGCUGGAGCCAUCUAAUGGGCUUGCUAACCCCAUCUAUCAUUUAGAGAGCUUUAAAACUCUGAUACUUCUUCAUGGGGCAACCAAUGUGAUUCUCUAUUGAGUAUUCUCCUCAACUUUAAGGAAGGUUGUCUGGCAUUGGUACUCAAACCUUCAACCAAACAUAGUUAGUUCUUUCGGUCAACUUGGACAAAUGUACAUCACCCACUUUAUU